CAAUAAUGAAAUUGAUCCUAAAGAUAUAGGACAAUUAGUUGUUUUGCCAUCCUCAUUUACAGGCAGUGUCGGCCUGGCCAGGGCAGCGAGGCAGCGAACGCUGCCGAGGCCCUCACCGUUUUUUUUUUUUUUAUUCUAGUAUAGGCACCUCAAAUAGUGAUGGACGGGGACUUAAUAGCCCAGGGUGCUAAGUAUUGUUAAAGGCUCUUUAGGUCAUUACAUACAUGUGCGAUUAAAUUUUGGUAAUUGGGUCUCGCACAAAUAUAUACAAUUAAUGAGCAAAAAGAGUUUAAAGGAUAAAAACUUAUUAACAUUGAAUAUUUGAAUACUUUCGGUUUAUUGGAAUAAUUUUGUUUUUAAAAUACAAGUAUUCUCUAGGUGUUUUGUUGUCAUGCAACAUUAAAUUCUCUUAUCGCAUCAUAAUGGUUUAAGUUUAAAAAUACGAGUAUUUAUUAUUUUUCGUAAAUUAUUUUUGUUCUAUUUUUGGAUACUACAUGUUUUUCAUAAUAUGUUAACGCUCGUGCAAUAUAAGAUAACGAUAAUACGAUGUAUAAAUAUAUUUAUAUUUCUUUUUAUACCAGUUGGAUUUUUAUCACUUCUAUAAUAGUUAAAUUAAUAUUUGUAUACAUACGGGGCACGGGCAUUCGAGUGUGUAACGCGUGUUCCGGUAUUAGUGACCAGUUUCGUUUUGUGUUUUGUGUAUCUUUAUUAAAAUUAACAAAAAUGAAUAAACAGAGGUUUCAAAGUGGACACGCCAAAAGAAAAGCGAAACAAAAGGAAGCCUUAAUUGCUUGUGGAAACGACAAAAGUCAAAAAAAAAAUUUGCUUCUUCCCAACUAUUAGACAAGGUAAUUCUAGUGUUACAAGUGAUCCAGUUUUAAAUAUAACUGAAAAUAAUUCAUCAGAUUUUGAAAAUGAUUUGAUACAUGCCAAUGAUAAUUCUAGCACAGGUUGUGAUAUAGUUUUAAGUACAACUGAAAGUAAUAUAGCAAAUACAGAAAGAAACAUAACUAAUAAUACUGGUAAGUGGUGAUACAUAUUAUAUAAAUAUAUUAUGUAACUACUAACUAUUAAUUAUAACUCAACUUAC
Sipha flava (yellow sugarcane aphid) is the source of this 1090-nucleotide long non-coding RNA. RefSeq lists it as uncharacterized. The record is from RefSeq and is a predicted model, not a curated record. The transcript has 3 exons. Lineage: Eukaryota; Metazoa; Arthropoda; Insecta; Hemiptera; Aphididae.